UUUUUUAUAUUAUUUUGUUUGUUUUUUUCAAGUCAAAAUCUAGAGCCUCUAAAGCUGUUUCUGUCCUUACAUAAGACGCCAUGUUCCUACAGUUGUUUGAAGAUUGAAAAAUCAGAGAAACCAUCAUUUCAACAAUGGAGAACAAGCCAAUUCUUGGAGAUGAAGAAGAGAAGACAAUAAAACCUAGCAGCUCUAGUGAAGAAAAUCAUGAUUUUAUAGCAAUCAACAACAAGGU
RNAcentral lists this long non-coding RNA (235 nucleotides) under Gossypium raimondii (Peruvian cotton). RNAcentral describes it as "long non-coding RNA (GRAI_LNC010357)". Lineage: Eukaryota; Viridiplantae; Streptophyta; Magnoliopsida; Malvales; Malvaceae. The record is from RNAcentral.